RNAcentral lists this long non-coding RNA (3444 nucleotides) under Homo sapiens (human). Its description in RNAcentral is "HSALNT0170987". The record is from RNAcentral. Lineage: Eukaryota; Metazoa; Chordata; Mammalia; Primates; Hominidae.
CCUCCGCUUCCCCCAAGGUUGGCGCCCGGGAGCCGUGCUCUGGGACCACACUCCUCUUUGGCUCUGGGAAUUUCUCCUCCCACGUGGAGGCCCCCACAGCAGUGGACACCACCCAGCCAGGCCCACCUGACCGGUCAGGCUCAAACCCUCUGGUACCCGCCCCACCCAUAGGACCAGGUGUAAACCAGGCAGCGACACCCCAGACGUGUGGUCUUGGUCAGCUCCCCUGGGCUCCUCUCCCUCCAGCUGGCCCUUCUCUGCCCAGGAAACAGUUUUCUGAAGAGUUCUCCGUUCUCGAGCCUUCCAGCUGCGUGGGAGAGAGUUGACCCCAAGGCUGGGACCACAAGAGGCCAGGGAGGGUGGGCCUGGGAUCUGCAGCUCACGGGCUGUGUGACUGUGGGCACGAGAUUUCAUUUCCUGAUUCAUAAAGGUGGGGACCGAUCAAAGCUACUCCUUGGACCUUUGUGAAGAUUAAAUGAGUUCAACACGGAGCAUUCUUGACCCAUGGGCCAUCCCCAGAUGAGGCUGCAGCAUUGCCCCGUGUGCUCUCAGCUGGUGCCAGUGUUGUCUGGAACUGUCUGGACCUACCUGGAAACUGAGUAUUUCUCUGAAGAAGUCUGCAGCCCUUUGGCAGCGUGGCUGCAGAUGGAAGGAAGGAAACAGUUCGCCCUGGAGAAUGGCUAGGCAGCACCUCUGAGCCGAGCAUCCCACCCGCUCUGACUGGCCCACAAUCGUGGGGCCAGUGGUAUCUCAGAGCCCUUCUACCUACAGGGUUUUGUCACUUACAGUGAUUGCCAUGGUCUGAAUGCUUGUGUCCUCCUCGAAAGUUCUGACAGCUCACUUCAUUUCACGUGGUGUGCAAGCUUCUGUCAAACAACGGAACAAACUAUGAGAACCACUUCCAGCCACUGCUUCUGCACACUUCUCUGCUAAGUGAGUCUCUGCUGUGUGAGUCUCAUUGGUAAAACUACCCUGAUCUAACAUUCUGUUACCUCCUUUGUGGUCCAACACUCCAAGAGUCCACGGCCUCAGACGCCCCUGGGUUUCUGCUGAUGUAAAUUGGCAAAAACUUGCAUUCAGUGUGUAUGUGGCUCCUCUUGGGUCUCACUGUGUGUUUAUCCCUCUGCACCCAACUCUAGUCAUGGCUCUGGGAAUAAUGAGGGUCGGUGGAGGUGGAUCUCAAGGGAGAUCUGUCAUCUUGCAAGGCUGUUUCCUCAAGUGAAGCCAUCACAGAUCUUUGGGCACAGUUUUACUCACCUCAGACUCUAAGGAAGAGUCACUUCUGCUUACAGGGAGACUCAGGAAGGUCUAAUGUUCAGGGGACUCAGAGUCAGAGAAAUCCACCCUCUCCAGUUCUCGAGGUCUCAUUCUUUCCAAAUAAAUGCCUUAACUUUGACUUAAGAGAUUUAGUAAGACAUUUAAUUAUUCUUUAGUUGUAAUUCAUUAGCCUGCAAGAUCAAAUUUGUACUCUGCAUUUAAAAAAAAAAGUUGACUCUACAGCUACAAGAACUAAAAUGGUUUUUUUAGGACAGCUAUAGAAGGGCUCUGGUUCUCUGUCUAUACCUUCAGCUGAGCACUUAAGGCCACAGCUUGUCAUUUUCUUUGUCAGUUCCCCAGUGCAAUAAGCAGCAGCCACCCCAUGCCACAUCCUUGUAUGCAUGGUUUCCAUCCACAUCCUAAUGUCCUAUUGCAAGAGCCCCCUGGUGUCUGAAACCCAGGCUUGUGAUGGGCACUGCAUCGCAGAGACCUCAAGGUAAUGAUUUUACCAGUGACAAUGUUUAUAGAUUAUCUGCAUCCUGCUUCCCACUCCUCACGUGGUCCUCACUGACAUCAGACAAAACCUGGUCUGUCCAAUUACUAACUCCAGAUUCCCAUCUUCAAGGUUCUGCCUUCCUGGAAACACUGCUGGUACCAGGAAUGGUUGGUCGGGAACACUAAAGUCACUCUAGGUAUUUUGGGUAGAAGGAGAUUCAUUGCAGGGAACUCUAGGCUUACAGAAAUGUUGAGAACUUUGGGGACUGAAGGUUAUUUCAGGAGAUCUGGAAGUGCAGGGAUAGAAGGGUAGCAUCCAUUGCCCCCUGAUAACUGUACCACUGACAUGGCUAGAAACCACCCCAGUGAUCCCAGCUGCUUGUAGCACCUCAGGGUGAUUCUCAAACUGACUCCAGAAGCCAAGGUACACUGCUGCCAAUGACUGCAGGGGCCUCUGCAAAACGGACGUUGAUGAAUGAAACAAAGUGUGAUCUACCCAUAGCAGGGAAUGUUAUUCAUCCUUAAAAAGGAAGGAAAUCCUGCAGCUCACGCCUGUCAUCCCAGCUCUUUGGGAAGCUGAGGCAGGAGAAUGGCUUGAGGCCAGGAGUUUGAGACCAGCCUGGGCAACAUAAUGAGACCCCCGUCUCUACAAAAAACAAUUUAAAAAAUUUGCUGUAGUCCCCGCUACCCAGGAGACUGAAGCAGGAGGAUAGCUUGAGCCCAGGAAGUUGAGGCUGCAGUGAGCUAUGAUCUCUCCUGUCUCUAAAAAAGAAAAAAAAUAAAAGGAAAGAAAUUAAUUCUCACACAGGCUACAAAAUGGAUGAACCUUGAGGACAUUAUGCUGAAUCAAAGAAGCCAUUCAGCAAAGGAUAAAUCCUAUAAGCUUCCCCGUAUAUGAGGAACCCAGAGCAGUGAAAUCCCCAGUGACAGGAAGUGGAUGGUGGGCACCAGGGGCUGGCAGAGAGGAUGGGAGUCAGUCUUCCAUGGGGACAGGGACAGCUUCAGUUUGGGAAGCUGAAGAAGUUCUGGAGAUGAUGAUGGUGGUGACAAGUGCACACCAACGUGAAUGUAUCAGGGACAGCUUCAGUUUGGGAACUUGAAGAAGUUCUGGAGAUGACGAUGGUGGUGACAGGUGCAUACCAACGUGAAUGUAUCAGGGACAGCUUCGGUUUGGGAAGCUGAAGAAGUUCUGGAGAUGAUGAUGGUGGUGACAGGUGCACACCAAUGUGAAUGUAUCAGGGACAGCUUCGGUUUGGGAAGCUGAAGAAGUUCUGGAGAUGAUGAUGGUGGUGACAGGUGCACACCAACGUGACUGUAUCAGGGACAGCUUCAGUUUGGGAAGUUGAAGAAGUUCUGGAGAUAAUGAUGGUGGUGACAGGUGCACACCAACAUGAAUGUAUCAGGGACAGCUUUGGUUUGGGAAGCUGAAGAAGUUCUGGAGAUGAUGAUGGUGGUGACAGGUGCACACCAACGUGAAUGUAUCAGGGACAGCUUCGGUUUGGGAAGCUGAAGAAGUUCUGGAGAUGAUGAUGGUGGUGACAGGUGCACAGCAAUGUGAAUGUAUCUAAUGGCACUAAACUGUGCACUUUAAAACUGCAUGCAUUUACAAUGGUAAAUUUUAUGUUAUGCGCAUUCCACUGUAGUGAAAAAGAGUUAACUUCACCUGAAAUGAAUUCGUGUGGUAACCAUUGG